AGGCCUUUGCUUCCUUUUGACAAGGUAGAGGAGCAGGAAGACAGGAAGAAGGAUGAGGCUAAGCCUGUCUCCUAUUCAUAUUCCUUCUUCCACCUCAUUUUUCUCCCUUGCCAGCAUGUACUCGGCUAUGCUUCUUACUGGCUGGUCCACGUCCGUUGGUGAAAGUGGUAAGCUUGUUGAUGUUGGGUGGCCCUCUGUGUGGGUCAGGAUUGUGACUGGGUGGGCCACAGCAGCUCUCUACAUCUGGUCUCUAAUUGCUCCCAUUCUCUUCCCAGAUAGGGAGUUCUGACUCCCAAGUAUGUAAAAGGAUGCAAUAAUUAUUUGGGACCCAAGUCCAGUAUCAUUGAGUCUGUACAUGUCUCUGUACACAGCUCUCGAUGCUACAUUUGUAGAGGAAUCUGUAUUAUAGAUGCAGGCUAAACUUUAUGUGUGAUUCAAGAAUGAUAGAGAUGUUGCUAUAAUGUUUGGAAUUGUAACCAUGGUGCUUCAUAAUUGAACAGUAAGAUGGUCAUCCUUUCUUGUGCAUGAUUCACUGGCAACAUGCAAAUAUUUGCUGGGUAAACUUUGAUUUCAUUCUCUGAAACUUUAGAUAAUGGGAACAAUUUGUAUUGGGUAAUCCUACUGUUUGCUCGGCCGGAAGGAAGGUAUGCUUUCUUCUGCUUUACAUGUUGGACUGGGAGCCGCAGUUAUUGAAAAUAUUGGGCAGGCUUUUGGUACUAAAAAAACAGCGGCGGUUGUUGCAGUAUGAUCGGGUAUAGAUCUUGGAAAGGACUUUAAUUAGUAUGUUCUAUGUUGACUUGACAGGAACAUGGUUUCAGGACAGGCAGUCCGGCUGGACGACUUGACUCCCACGAUCUAGAUGAGUCUUUGGAGCUGUGGAAUGUGAUAGAGAACCAAACCAUGACGGUCCAGGCACACGAAGGUCUUAUUGCAGCAUUGGCACAGUCACAAGCCACAGGAAUGGUGGCCUCUGCUAGCCAUGACAAGUCUGUUAAGCUGUGGAAGUAAGCAUGGGGGGUGUUGCAGUGGAAGUAAGCUGUGGAAGUAAGCCACAGGAAUUUUUGGAAGCUACUUUGAUGGUUUAUGUAUUCGUAGACUAAAUGUUUUGUGUCAUCUGUACGGAACUUCUUGUUCUAUCUUACUAAUCCCAGUGGUGUAGAAAUGCAUACCUUGUUAUAAUUAGUGUUGGAAGCAGUGGAACAGAGCUACUGCUGCACUGAUUGUUGGUAAAUCUUAGUUUUUAAGGUAACACGUGCUUGCUUU
Phoenix dactylifera (date palm) is the source of this 1263-nucleotide non-coding RNA. The record is from RefSeq and is a predicted model, not a curated record. NCBI's taxonomy places the organism in Eukaryota, Viridiplantae, Streptophyta, Magnoliopsida, Arecales, Arecaceae.